ACGGAGGUAACUCAGUGGUAGAGUUCUCGGUUGUUAACCGAAAUGACGCAGGUUCGAAUCCUGCCCUCCGUG
Molecule: transfer RNA, 72 nt
Filed under: marine sediment metagenome
Description: tRNA-Asn
Rfam family: tRNA
About the family: Transfer RNA (tRNA) molecules are approximately 80 nucleotides in length. Their secondary structure includes four short double-helical elements and three loops (D, anti-codon, and T loops). Further hydrogen bonds mediate the characteristic L-shaped molecular structure. tRNAs have two regions of fundamental functional importance: the anti-codon, which is responsible for specific mRNA codon recognition, and the 3' end, to which the tRNAs corresponding amino acid is attached (by aminoacyl-tRNA synthetases). tRNAs cope with the degeneracy of the genetic code in two manners: having more than one tRNA (with a specific anti-codon) for a particular amino acid; and 'wobble' base-pairing, i.e. permitting non-standard base-pairing at the 3rd anti-codon position.
Source: RNAcentral